This 417-nucleotide ribosomal RNA is filed under the name Cryptopygus antarcticus. Its description in RNAcentral is "partial 28S ribosomal RNA". Lineage: Eukaryota; Metazoa; Arthropoda; Collembola; Entomobryomorpha; Isotomidae. The record is from RNAcentral.
CCUCUCGGGGGUAGGCGGGCAGAACUUGCAAGUAUUGGNGAGAAUAUUCAGGCUUAGUGUGUUGGCGACUGAGAGUACUUGUUAUGUUAUCCGUUUCGGCGGAUUGGCAGGUGUGUGCNCUUUGNUUUGCUGACGAUGCGCCGCAUUUAUUCUCAUCAUCGGGUUGCAUGUGACUGAGACUGGUAGAUUAGGUGCUUGGAUACUGCGAAGCCUUGUUGUUNGAGUCCAGUUUCACACUACUGCUGCGGUCAUUNNAAUUGUUUGAACAGGCGAUUAGGCGCGGUCAACUAUUUGUACGAGUUGUGUACGUAUGAUGUGUGGACGGGUAACCGUAACACGUUGUACGAGGCUGAUUGUCGGUACGAGUAGUUUGGCNCUGUUCAGUAUUGCAAUCUAANGCAUGCGUGGUCUGCCUGU